Molecule: ribosomal RNA, 483 nt
Filed under: uncultured bacterium
Lineage: Bacteria
Description: partial 16S ribosomal RNA
Rfam family: Bacterial small subunit ribosomal RNA
Source: RNAcentral
UUGAACGCUGGCGGCAGGCCUAACACAUGCAAGUCGAGCGGAUGAAGGGAGCUUGCUCCUGGAUUCAGCGGCGGACGGGUGAGUAAUGCCUAGGAAUCUGCCUGGUAGUGGGGGAUAACGUCCGUAAACGGGCGCUAAUACCGCAUACGUCCUGAGGGAGAAAGUGGGGGAUCUUCGGACCUCACGCUAUCAGAUGAGCCUAGGUCGGAUUAGCUAGUUGGUGGGGUAAAGGCCUACCAAGGCGACGAUCCGUAACUGGUCUGAGAGGAUGAUCAGUCACACUGGAACUGAGACACGGUCCAGACUCCUACGGGAGGCAGCAGUGGGGAAUAUUGGACAAUGGGCGAAAGCCUGAUCCAGCCAUGCCGCGUGUGUGAAGAAGGUCUUCGGAUUGUAAAGCACUUUAAGUUGGGAGGAAGGGCAGUAAGUUAAUACCUUGCUGUUUUGACGUUACCAACAGAAUAAGCACCGGCUAACUUCGUG